UAGACCUAAGGGAAAAUAACCUUAAAACUGUGGAAGAGAUCAUUAGCUUUCAGCAUCUUCAGAAUCUUUCCUGCUUAAAGUUGUGGCACAAUAACAUUGCUUAUAUUCCUGCACAGAUUGGGGCAUUAUCUAACCUAGAGCAGCUCUCUUUGGACCAUAAUAAUAUUGAGAAUCUGCCCUUGCAGCUUUUCCUAUGCACUAAACUACAUUAUUUGGAUCUAAGCUAUAACCACUUGACCUUCAUUCCAGAAGAAAUCCAUAUCUCAGUGCUGUGGCAUAGCUCCAAUAGGUGUGCUGUGGUGCACUGCAGUGAUGUAUUUGCAUAACAUUGUUUGAUAGUGAAAAAUUUUUUUUCGGUUCAAGUGUUUUGUGAUUAAAAUUUUAUGUUUAAUUAAAAUAUUGCAUAAUAUUGAUGGGUUCAAAAACCAUUAAAAUAAUCAAACAAUUA
RNAcentral lists this long non-coding RNA (448 nucleotides) under Homo sapiens (human). Its description in RNAcentral is "HSALNT0010316". The record is from RNAcentral. Lineage: Eukaryota; Metazoa; Chordata; Mammalia; Primates; Hominidae.